CGCCUGUUUAACAAAAACAUGUCUAUUUUAUUGUUAUAUAAAGUCUAGCCUGCCCACUGAUUUAGUUUAAAGGGCCGCGGUAUAUUGACCGUGCGAAGGUAGCAUAAUCAUUAGUCUUUUAAUUGAAGGCUUGUAUGAAUGGUUGGACAAAAAGUAAGCUGUCUCAAUUAUAAUAAUUGAACUUAACUUUUAAGUGAAAAGGCUUAAAUAAAUUAAGGGGACGAUAAGACCCUAUAAAGCUUGACAAUAAUUUAAUUAUACUAUCAAUUGUUAGUGUAACUUGGUUUUAAUUAAAAUUUGUUGCGUUGGGGCGACGAGAAUAUAAUAGGUAACUGUUCUUAAAUAUUUAAUAACAGAUAUAAUUGAAAAUUAGUGUGAUCCUCUAUUAGCGAUUAAAAGAUUAAGUUACUUUAGGGAUAACAGCGUAAUCUUCUUUGAGAGUCCAUAUCGACAAGAAGGUUUGCGACCUCGAUGUUGAAUUAAGGUAUCCUUAUGAUGCAGCAGUUAUAAAGGAAGGUCUGUUCGACCUUUAAAUCCUUACGUGAUCUGAGUUCAGACCGG
Molecule: ribosomal RNA, 561 nt
Filed under: Penaeus merguiensis
Lineage: Eukaryota; Metazoa; Arthropoda; Malacostraca; Decapoda; Penaeidae
Description: partial 16S ribosomal RNA
Rfam family: Bacterial large subunit ribosomal RNA
Source: RNAcentral